GAACGAACGCUGGCGGCAUGCCUAACACAUGCACGUCGAACGAGACCUUCGGGUCUCGUGGCGCACGGGUGCGUAACGCGUGGGAACCUGCCCUUAGGUUCGGAAUAACUCCCCGAAAGGGGUGCUAAUACCGGAUAAUGUCUUCGGACCAAAGAUUUAUCGCCUUUGGAUGGGCCCGCGUUGGAUUAGCUAGUUGGUAGGGUAAAAGCCUACCAAGGCGACGAUCCAUAGCUGGUCUGAGAGGAUGAUCAGCCACACUGGGACUGAGACACGGCCCAGACUCCUACGGGAGGCAGCAGUGGGGAAUAUUGGACAAUGGGCGAAAGCCUGAUCCAGCAAUGCCGCGUGAGUGAUGAAGGCCUUAGGGUUGUAAAGCUCUUUUACCCGGGAUGAUAAUGACAGUACCGGGAGAAUAAGCUCCGGCUAACUCCGUG
RNAcentral lists this ribosomal RNA (434 nucleotides) under uncultured bacterium. RNAcentral describes it as "partial 16S ribosomal RNA". It matches the Rfam family "Bacterial small subunit ribosomal RNA", at positions 27 to 507 of the family's 1533-position model. The record is from RNAcentral.